RNAcentral lists this ribosomal RNA (497 nucleotides) under uncultured bacterium. Its description in RNAcentral is "partial 16S ribosomal RNA". It matches the Rfam family "Bacterial small subunit ribosomal RNA", at positions 28 to 507 of the family's 1533-position model. The record is from RNAcentral.
GAAGAACGCUGGCGGCGUGCCUAAUACAUGCAAGUCGAGCGAACAGACGAGGAGCUUGCUCCUCUGACGUUAGCGGCGGACGGGUGAGUAACACGUGGAUAACCUACCUAUAAGACUGGGAUAACUUCGGGAAACCGGAGCUAAUACCGGAUAAUAUAUUGAACCGCAUGGUUCAAUAGUGAAAGACGGUUUUGCUGUCACUUAUAGAUGGGUCCGCGCCGCAUUAGCUAGUUGGUAAGGUAACGGCUUACCAAGGCAACGAUGCGUAGCCGACCUGAGAGGGUGAUCGGCCACACUGGAACUGAGACACGGUCCAGACUCCUACGGGAGGCAGCAGUAGGGAAUCUUCCGCAAUGGGCGAAAGCCUGACGGAGCAACGCCGCGUGAGUGAUGAAGGUCUUCGGAUCGUAAAACUCUGUUAUUAGGGAAGAACAAAUGUGUAAGUAACUAUGCACGUCUUGACGGUACCUAAUCAGAAAGCCACGGCUAACUACGUG